Molecule: unclassified non-coding RNA, 398 nt
Filed under: uncultured Planctomycetia bacterium
Lineage: Bacteria; Pseudomonadati; Planctomycetota; Planctomycetia
Description: contains 16S-23S intergenic spacer region
Source: RNAcentral
UCCGGUUUGGCACCGGCAGUCCCUCUAGAGUCCUCGGCUUUACCCGUUAGUAACUAAAGAAAGGGGUUGCGCUCGUUAUGGGACUUAACCCGACAUCUCACGACACGAGCUGACGACAGCCAUGCAGCACCUGUGAUCGGUUCCGGACUGGAUACCGUUGGCCCCACGUUUCCGCGGGCUACUCCCGACCGCUUUCGCACAUGUCAAGCCCAGGAUAAGGUUCUUCGCGUAGCCUCGAAUUAAGCCACAUGCUCCACCGCUUGUGUGAGCCCCCGUCAAUUCCUUUGAGUUUCAGCCUUGCGGCCAUACUCCCCAGGCGGGGGACUUAGCACUUUAGCUACGGCAGUCAGCCCAUGCCGGCCGACUACCUAGUCCCCAUCGUUUAGGGCCAGGACUAC